Molecule: unclassified non-coding RNA, 334 nt
Filed under: soil metagenome
Description: partial contains 5.8S ribosomal RNA, internal transcribed spacer 2, and large subunit ribosomal RNA
Rfam family: 5.8S ribosomal RNA (bases 1-120)
Source: RNAcentral
GAUGAAGAACGUAGCGAAAUGCGAUACGUAGUGUGAAUUGUAGAAUUCAGUGAAUCAUCGAAUCUUUGAACGCACAUUGCGCCCGCCAGUAUUCUGGCGGGCAUGCCUGUUCGAGCGUCAUUUCAACCAUCAAGCCCCCGGCUUGUGUUGGGGACCUGCGGCUGCCGCAGGCCCUGAAAUGCAGUGGCGGGCUCGCUGUCACUCCGAGCGUAGUAGUUACAUCUCGCUCUGGGCGUGCUGCGGGUUCCGGCCGUUAAAAGCCUUAUUUACCCAAGGUUGACCUCGGAUCAGGUAGGAAGACCCGCUGAACUUAAGCAUAUCAAUAAGCGGAGGA